Molecule: ribosomal RNA, 484 nt
Filed under: uncultured bacterium
Lineage: Bacteria
Description: partial 16S ribosomal RNA
Rfam family: Bacterial small subunit ribosomal RNA
Source: RNAcentral
AUUGAACGCUGGCGGCAGGCCUAACACAUGCAAGUCGAGCGGAUGAAGGGAGCUUGCUCCUGGAUUCAGCGGCGGACGGGUGAGUAAUGCCUAGGAAUCUGCCCGGUAGUGGGGGAUAACGUCCGGAAACGGGCGCUAAUACCGCAUACGUCCUGAGGGAGAAAGUGGGGGAUCUUCGGACCUCACGCUAUCAGAUGAGCCUAGGUCGGAUUAGCUAGUUGGUGGGGUAAAGGCCUACCAAGGCGACGAUCUGUAACUGGUCUGAGAGGAUGAUCAGUCACACUGGAACUGAGACACGGUCCAGACUCCUACGGGAGGCAGCAGUGGGGAAUAUUGGACAAUGGGCGAAAGCCUGAUCCAGCCAUGCCGCGUGUGUGAAGAAGGUCUCCGGAUUGUAAAGCACUUUAAGUUGGGAGGAAGGGCAGUAAGUUAAUACCUUGCUGUUUUGACGUUACCAACAGAAUAAGCACCGGCUAACUUCGUG